AACGAACGCUGGCGGCAGGCCUAAUACAUGCAAGUCGAACGCCGUAGCAAUACGGAGUGGCAGACGGGUGAGUAACGCGUGGGAAUCUUCCUAAUGGUACGGAAUAGCCCGGGGAAACCCGGAGUAAUACCGUAUACUCCCGUGAGGGGAAAGAUUUAUCGCCAUUAGAUGAGCCCGCGUCGGUUUAGCUAGUUGGUGGGGUAAAGGCCUACCAAGGCAACGAUCCGUAGCUGGUCUGAGUGGAUGAUCAGCCACACUGGGACUGAGACACGGCCCAGACACCUACGUGAGGCAGCAGUAUGGAAUAUUGGACAAUGGGCGAAAGCCUGAUCCAGCCAUGCCGCGUGAGUGAUGAAGGCCUUCUGGUUGUAAAGCUCUUUUGGCGGGGACGAUAAUGACGGUACCCGCAGAAUAAGCCCCGGCUAACUUCGUGCCAGCAGCAGCCGCAG
RNAcentral lists this ribosomal RNA (449 nucleotides) under uncultured bacterium. RNAcentral's name for it is "partial 16S ribosomal RNA". It matches the Rfam family "Bacterial small subunit ribosomal RNA", at positions 29 to 523 of the family's 1533-position model. The record is from RNAcentral.